RNAcentral lists this long non-coding RNA (404 nucleotides) under Gossypium raimondii (Peruvian cotton). Its description in RNAcentral is "long non-coding RNA (GRAI_LNC011098)". The record is from RNAcentral. Lineage: Eukaryota; Viridiplantae; Streptophyta; Magnoliopsida; Malvales; Malvaceae.
CUUUAAAAGUAUCUAGAGUGGAGAUGAAGCAAGAAUUCAGUAAGAUCUGGGAAAAGGUAGGGGAGAGGGAGAAGCAGUAAAGAGAAGAGGGGAAGAGAGAAGAGAAGAUUCGGUAACCCAAAGAAGAGGGAAGAGAAAGGGGAUUUGGCAGAGGGGACUAACGAACUAUUCGGUCAAAACAAAAACAAGAAGAGAAAAAAAAGAAUAAAAGGAAAAGAAAGAAAAAAAUAAGCAAACCCGAAAGGUACCCACAAUCUUUAGCAAUAUUCGGCACAAGUAAAAGGUGAAAGAAAAAUUGACCAAAUCAAAAUAGACGGAGAGAAAACAACCCCAAAAUCGAAACCCACAAAGUGUAAAGACCAAAUUUGGCACAAGUCUACCCCCAAACGGCACAACUCCCCCCA